Molecule: non-coding RNA, 74 nt
Organism: Parelaphostrongylus tenuis
Lineage: Eukaryota; Metazoa; Nematoda; Chromadorea; Rhabditida; Metastrongylidae
Source: the annotation of a GenBank genome assembly
GCGUCGGUGGUGCAAGGGAGAGAGCACGUGCCUCUAGAUUGGGUGAAAUGCAGGUUCGAGUCCCACCUGACGCA